AUCCAGCUGACGAGUCCCAAUAGGACGAAACGCGCGUCCUGGAU
Schistosoma mansoni is the source of this 44-nucleotide non-coding RNA. The record is from Rfam. Lineage: Eukaryota; Metazoa; Platyhelminthes; Trematoda; Strigeidida; Schistosomatidae.